CACAUUCCCAUUGAAGCAGCGCUGUGUUGUGAGGCCUGUUAUUUUUACCCAGCGUGCACCUGGACGGGCCCUAGACCUGCUCUAGCCUGCCUUUCCUCCACUGCACAGCACCCUCAGGUGUUUCUUUAAAGCCUGUCAUCUUCAUUCUCUCCGCCUCUCAUUGCCUUUCCCUCGACGCACAAUCGCAGCAGCUGCAGACGCCUUUAAUUGAUCAUCAAACUAACCACAGGAAGGAAGCAAAUUUGUAGAAACCGUUGCGGUACGAGCCCCCAGUCCUGCUUUUCUCCUCUUUCAGUGAACAAUUUCAACAGUCCCAACAAGGUCAAAUUUAAGUCAGCUCGCAAAUCGUUUCGGUUGAUUGCCUACAUUUGCUUCAGUAGUAGGGAGAAGGUCAGCUACCUGAACCCAUAAAGAAGAGAUAUGCCAACCCAGACAGCGUCAUCGCGGUUCCUGUUAUGAGCCUGGAGCGGAGGAGAUGAGAGGAGAG
Molecule: long non-coding RNA, 487 nt
Organism: Cyprinus carpio carpio
Lineage: Eukaryota; Metazoa; Chordata; Actinopteri; Cypriniformes; Cyprinidae
Source: Ensembl